AGCGAACGCUGGCGGCGUGCUUAACACAUGCAAGUCGAGUGCGCGGUUGUAGCAAUACAACUGGCGCACGGCGCACGGGUGAGUAACACGUGGGCAACCUGCCCUCCAAUGGGGGAUACCCCCGCGAAAGCGGGACUAAUACCGCAUGACAUUCCGAGAACUUAGGUUUUCGGACUCAAAGGCCGUAAGGUCGUUGGAGGAGGGGCCCGCGCCCGAUUAGCUAGUUGGUGAGGUAACGGCUCACCAAGGCUAUGAUCGGUAGCCGGUCUGAGAGGAUGGCCGGCCACACUGGAACUGAGACACGGUCCAGACUCCUACGGGAGGCAGCAGUGGGGAAUAUUGCGUAAUGGGCGAAAGCCUGACGCAGCGACGCCGCGUGGGGGAUGAAGCUUCUCGGAGUGUAAACCCCUUUCGACCCGGACGAAACGCCCGUAAGGGCUUGACGGUACGGGUAUAAGAAGCCCCGGCUAACUACGUGCCAGCAGCCGCGGUAAUACGUAGGGGGCCAGCGUUGCUCGGAAUUACUGGGCGUAAAGGGUCUGUAGGCGGUGCGGCAAGUCGAUAGUGAAAUCCCUAGGCUUAACCUAGGGGCUGCUAGCGAAACUGCCG
RNAcentral lists this ribosomal RNA (609 nucleotides) under uncultured bacterium. Its description in RNAcentral is "bacterial SSU rRNA". It matches the Rfam family "Bacterial small subunit ribosomal RNA", at positions 28 to 638 of the family's 1533-position model. The record is from RNAcentral.